This 497-nucleotide ribosomal RNA is filed under the name uncultured bacterium. RNAcentral describes it as "partial 16S ribosomal RNA". It matches the Rfam family "Bacterial small subunit ribosomal RNA", at positions 28 to 507 of the family's 1533-position model. The record is from RNAcentral.
GAUGAACGCUGGCGGCGUGCCUAAUACAUGCAAGUCGAGCGAACAGAUGAGGAGCUUGCUCCUCUGACGUUAGCGGCGGACGGGUGAGUAACACGUGGAUAACCUACCUAUAAGACUGGGAUAACUACGGGAAACCGGAGCUAAUACCGGAUAAUAUAUUGAACCGCAUGGUUCAAUAGUGAAAGACGGUUUUGCUGUCACUUAUAGAUGGAUCCGCGCCGCAUUAGCUAGUUGGUAAGGUAACGGCUUACCAAGGCAACGAUGCGUAGCCGACCUGAGAGGGUGAUCGGCCACACUGGAACUGAGACACGGUCCAGACUCCUACGGGAGGCAGCAGUAGGGAAUCUUCCGCAAUGGGCGAAAGCCUGACGGAGCAACGCCGCGUGAGUGAUGAAGGUCUUCGGAUCGUAAAACUCUGUUAUUAGGGAAGAACAAAUGUGUAAGUAACUAUGCACGUCUUGACGAUACCUAAUCAGAAAGCCACGGCUAACUACGUG